GCCCCCGUAGCUCAGCGGAAGAGCGGGAGGCUACGCCUUAAGGCCGCUGGUUCGACCCCAGCCGGGGGCA
RNAcentral lists this transfer RNA (70 nucleotides) under Phytophthora sojae. RNAcentral describes it as "tRNA PHYSODRAFT_t834". It matches the Rfam family "tRNA". From Rfam's summary of the family: Transfer RNA (tRNA) molecules are approximately 80 nucleotides in length. Their secondary structure includes four short double-helical elements and three loops (D, anti-codon, and T loops). The record is from RNAcentral. Lineage: Eukaryota; Oomycota; Peronosporomycetes; Peronosporales; Peronosporaceae.